This 468-nucleotide ribosomal RNA is filed under the name uncultured bacterium. RNAcentral describes it as "partial 16S ribosomal RNA". It matches the Rfam family "Bacterial small subunit ribosomal RNA", at positions 28 to 507 of the family's 1533-position model. The record is from RNAcentral.
GACGAACGCUGGCGGCGUGCUUAACACAUGCAAGUCGAACGGAAAGGCCCUGCUUUUGUGGGGUGCUCGAGUGGCGAACGGGUGAGUAACACGUGAGUAACCUGCCCUUGACUUUGGGAUAACUUCAGGAAACUGGGGCUAAUACCGGAUAGGAGCUCCUGCUGCAUGGUGGGGGUUGGAAAGUUUCGGCGGUUGGGGAUGGACUCGCGGCUUAUCAGCUUGUUGGUGGGGUAGUGGCUUACCAAGGCUUUGACGGGUAGCCGGCCUGAGAGGGUGACCGGCCACAUUGGGACUGAGAUACGGCCCAGACUCCUACGGGAGGCAGAAGUGGGGAAUAUUGCGCAAUGGGCGGAAGCCUGAUGCAGCAACGCCGCGUGCGGGAUGACGGCCUUCGGGUUGUAAACCGCUUUCGCCUGUGACGAAGCGUGAGUGACGGUAAUGGGUAAAGAAGCACCGGCUAACUACGUG